This 468-nucleotide ribosomal RNA is filed under the name uncultured bacterium. Its description in RNAcentral is "partial 16S ribosomal RNA". It matches the Rfam family "Bacterial small subunit ribosomal RNA", at positions 38 to 507 of the family's 1533-position model. The record is from RNAcentral.
GGGGGGGGGGGGGGGGGCGCGGGGGGGGGGCGGGGCGGCCGGGACGGGCCGGCUGUGGGUGGGGGCUCGCGUGGCGGACGGGUGGUUAACCCGGGGGUAGCAUGCGCUGGACGGGGGGAUAACUGCGGGACACUGGGGCUAACGACGGCUGAGAGCUCCUGAGGAAUGGGGGGGGUUCGCAAGUUUCGGCGGUUGGGGAUCGAGGCGCGGACUGUCAGCUUGUGUGCGGGGUAGUGUGUUCCCAAGGCUUUGCCGGGUAGCCGGCAUGAGAGGGUGACAGGACACAUUGGGACUGCGAUACGGCCCAGACUCCUACGGGAGGCAGCAGUGGGGAAUAGUGCACAAUGGGCGGAAGCCUGAUGCAGCAACGCCGCGUGCGGGAUGACGGCCUUCGGGUUGUAAACCGCUUUCGCCUGUGACGAAGAGUGAGUGACGGUAAUGGGUAAAGAAGCACCGGCUAACUACGUG